AUGGCUCAGGAUGAACGCUGGCGGCGUGCCUAACACAUGCAAGUCGAACGGGACUGAUUCUACGGAGAUUCGUCGAAGAAGAUGAAAGUUUAGUGGCGGACGGGUGAGUAACGCGUGGGUAACCUGCCUCAUAGAGGGGGACAACAGCUGGAAACGGCUGCUAAUACCGCAUAAGCCCACACUGCCGCAUGGCAGAGGGGGAAAAGAUUUAUCGCUAUGAGAUGGACCCGCGUUUGAUUAGCUUGUUGGCGGUGUAACGGACCACCAAGGCGACGAUCAAUAGCCGGACUGAGAGGUUGAACGGCCACAUUGGGACUGAGACACGGCCCAAACUCCUACGGGAGGCAGCAGUGGGGAAUAUUGCACAAUGGGGGAAACCCUGAUGCAGCGACGCCGCGUGGGUGAAGAAGUUUUUCGGAAUGUAAAGCCCUAUCAGCAGGGAAGAUAAUGACGGUACCUGACUAAGAAGCCCCGGCUAACUACGUGCCAGCCGCAGC
This 497-nucleotide ribosomal RNA is filed under the name uncultured bacterium. RNAcentral describes it as "bacterial SSU rRNA". It matches the Rfam family "Bacterial small subunit ribosomal RNA", at positions 19 to 518 of the family's 1533-position model. The record is from RNAcentral.